RNAcentral lists this ribosomal RNA (422 nucleotides) under uncultured Wolbachia sp. Its description in RNAcentral is "bacterial SSU rRNA". It matches the Rfam family "Bacterial small subunit ribosomal RNA", at positions 1002 to 1422 of the family's 1533-position model. The record is from RNAcentral. Lineage: Bacteria; Pseudomonadati; Pseudomonadota; Alphaproteobacteria; Rickettsiales; Anaplasmataceae.
CGAAGGGAUAGGGUCGGUUCGGCCGGAUUUCACACAGGUGUUGCAUGGCUGUCGUCAGCUCGUGUCGUGAGAUGUUGGGUUAAGUCCCGCAACGAGCGUAACCCUCAUCCUUAGUUACCAUCAGGUAAUGCUGGGGACUUUAAGGAAACUGCUAGUGAUAAACUGGAGGAAGGUGGGGAUGAUGUCAAGUCAUCAUGGCCCUUAUGGAGUGGGCUACACACGUGCUACAAUGGUGGCUACAAUGGGCUGCAAAGUCGCGAGGCUAAGCUAAUCCCUUAAAAGCCAUCUCAGUUCGGAUUGUACUCUGCAACUCGAGUGCAUGAAGUUGGAAUCGCUAGUAAUCGUGGAUCAGCAUGCCACGGUGAAUACGUUCUCGGGUCUUGUACACACUGCCCGUCACGCCAUGGGAAUUGGUUUCACAG